Molecule: long non-coding RNA, 1557 nt
Organism: Peromyscus californicus insignis
Lineage: Eukaryota; Metazoa; Chordata; Mammalia; Rodentia; Cricetidae
Exons: 4
Source: RefSeq, a predicted model, not a curated record
AUAUGUAUAUAGCCAUUCCCACCUGCACAGGCACCACACAUGCUUACACACUGUGUCCAAGUAUCAAUGACAUGACAACCUGAGAAGAGGUCUCUGUAUAGCAGGCACCCUCUUUGUGUCGCUGUGUCACUCCCUGCAUGGCUAUGAGUGUAGCAGGGGAAGAGGACGAUGAGUGGGUGAAAGAGGAAUUGGCAGGUCGUCUAGACAGUCCGGAUGUCUUAGGGACAGUGGGAGCAGUGGAGGACUGUGAGGCAGUGGGCCAGUCCGGUAGAUGGUGGAGGCUUUCAAAGAUUACCGAGACUAGAGGAGACAGAGGUUCACAAGUGUUUGGCGAUGGUGAGUUCGGUGCACAGAGUGUCCAGGAUCCCUGGGACUAUCAGAUGAUGAUUGGCUCUACAGAGAUGCUGUUUUGUCGAGGAAGGGGCUAAGCAGAAGGGCAGAGGGGACCAGUGAGGACUGUGGAGCAGCUUACCCUCUCCCUUCAGGGAAAGAGCCAAUCUUCCUGAGAAAGAAUCCUGUUUCCCCAGAGAGGCUCUGGACACAGCCAGGCUCCAGUUCCCAAGAGACCUUGGCAAGGAGGGCCCAGCUUCUCCGCACUGUCUUGUAGGCCUUCAGCUCUGGGAGUUCAGCUGUCUGUAUCCCCCAAGGCCACUCUCCAUUGUACAACAUCCAGUAGCAGGAAGAACUGAAGCAGAGUUUGAUAUCCAGGCAGCGUGGACUCCGUCCAGAGACAGAGAAAGGUGAUCUGCUACGAUCAGGAUGGAAGAAGAUCAGCAUUGGGAGAGUUCAAAAUCACCCCAAAAGAAAACAAAACUAGCUGAAAUCAAGAAAAAGAAACGUGUUAGGUUUCUCUUACCUCACCAAACUGAGAGAAAAAGAAGACCCUCUUCCCCUCGAGAUGCAGAUCAGGAGAUGUUCACAUGUGAAUGCUGCUACUGUCAGAAGGAUGUGGGGAACAUGUCUGGGGUCUCCAUGGGGACGGGGACCAUGACAGAAGCAGCCUCUCAUUCACCAUCCUGUGAAAAGCUGAUACUAGACCUCAGUAACUUGUCACUCAACCCUGAUACCACCCAGCCCACUCUUGCGCAAGAAAUACAAAAGAGAGAAAAGAACAAAACGCACUGGCAGCAGAAAAGCAAAAAGGUGUUUCAAAGGCUUCUCCACGAAUGGACAGAAUAACUCUGGCAUUGUUAUCCUCAUGUAAAGAAGAUCAGAACCUACAGGAUCAUGAAUGUCAACACCACCAAACCCUAGGGUGAAAUCUUUUUGGGAGCAUGGUCAGGAGGAGUAAAAAUGUCCAGCCUGGUGACAAUAAUAUCUUCAGAUGGCGAGUUUCAAACCUAUUCCAGAAAUGUAACAGUCGUUUUCUUAGUGGUUUUGGCAUCCCCUCUGGGGCAUUCUGGCAACAGAUGCUCCUUGGCUAGGGCAACCAGAUAGCGAUGGUUCUGUACUCCCCAUGCUGUUGUUCCCAUGGGGCGAUCUACCAAUUUCCCCUCCUCCGGUCUCGGCUUUUCCUCCUUUACUUUGUUGCCAAUAAAGUUAGAACAUCGAUGCAGA